RNAcentral lists this ribosomal RNA (263 nucleotides) under uncultured bacterium. RNAcentral's name for it is "partial 16S ribosomal RNA". It matches the Rfam family "Bacterial small subunit ribosomal RNA", at positions 95 to 354 of the family's 1533-position model. The record is from RNAcentral.
CCGGCGCACGGGUGAGUAACGCGUAUGCAACCUGCCCGUUUCAGCGGGAUAACCCGGAGAAAUCCGGCCUAAUACCGCAUGUGGCCGAGGGGAGGCAUCCUCUUUCGGCCAAAGGAGGCGACUCCGGAGACGGAUGGGCAUGCGUGACAUUAGCUAGUUGGCGGGGUAACGGCCCACCAAGGCGACGAUGUCUAGGGGUUCUGAGAGGAAGGUCCCCCACACUGGUACUGAGACACGGACCAGACUCCUACGGAAGGCAGCAG